Molecule: ribosomal RNA, 243 nt
Filed under: uncultured bacterium
Lineage: Bacteria
Description: partial 16S ribosomal RNA
Rfam family: Bacterial small subunit ribosomal RNA
Source: RNAcentral
GAUCUGGCUCAGAACGAACGCUGGCGGCAGGCUUAACACAUGCAAGUUGAACGGGAUUUGUGUGGUGCUUGCACCAUAUAAUGAGAGUAGCGCACUGGUGAGUAACACGUGGGAACGUGCCUUUUAGUGGGGGAUAACAUCUGGAAACGGAUGCUAAUACCGCAUACGCCCUGAGGGGGAAAGAUUUAUUGCUAAGAGGUCGGCCCGCGGUAGAUUAGGCAGUUGGUGGGGUAAAGGCCUACC